ACACCGGCAGCUCAAGUGGUAGCCGCUUUUAUUGGGCCUAAAGCGUCCGUAGCCGGUCUGAUAAGUCUCUGGUGAAAUCCCGCAGCUUAACUGUGGGAAUUGCUGGAGAUACUAUCAUGCCUCGAGGUCGGGAGAGGCUGGGGGUCAUCCCAGGGUAGGGGGGAAAUCCUGUAAUCCUGGGAGGACCACCUGUGGCGAAGGCGUCCAGCUGGAACGAACCUGACGGUGAGGGACGAAAGCCAGGGGCGCGAACCGGAUUAGAUACCCGGGUAGUCCUGGCCGUAAACGAUGUGGACUUGGUGUUGGGAUGGCUUCGAGCUGCCCCAGUGCCGAAGGGAAGCUGUUAAGUCCACCGCCUGGGAAGUACGGCCGCAAGGCUGAAACUCAAAUGAAUUGGCGGGG
This 402-nucleotide ribosomal RNA is filed under the name uncultured bacterium. Its description in RNAcentral is "partial 16S ribosomal RNA". It matches the Rfam family "Archaeal small subunit ribosomal RNA", at positions 473 to 873 of the family's 1478-position model. The record is from RNAcentral.